This 443-nucleotide ribosomal RNA is filed under the name uncultured bacterium. Its description in RNAcentral is "partial 16S ribosomal RNA". It matches the Rfam family "Bacterial small subunit ribosomal RNA", at positions 338 to 795 of the family's 1533-position model. The record is from RNAcentral.
CCUACGGGAGACAGCAGUGGGGAAUAUUGGACAAUGGGGGCAACCCUGAUCCAGCGACGCCGCGUGAGUGAAGAAGUAUUUCGGUAUGUAAAGCUCUUUUCUCAGGGACGAAAGAAAUGACGGUACCUGACUAAGAAGCCCCGGCUAACUACGUGCCAGCAGCCGCGGUAAUACGUAGGUGGCAAGCGUUAUCCGGAUUUACUGGGUGUAAAGGGAGCGUAGGCGGCAAAGCAAGUCUGAUGUGAAAGGCGGGGGCUCAACCUCCGGACUGCUUUGGAAACUGUAUUGCUGGAGUGCAGGAGAGGUAGAUGGAAUUCCUAGUGUAGCGGUGAAAUGCGUAGAUAUUAGGAGGAACACCAGUGGCGAAGGCGGUUUACUGGACAGUAACUGACGUUGAGGCGCGAAAGCGUGGGGAGCAAACAGGAUUAGAUACCCGGGUAGUC